This 480-nucleotide ribosomal RNA is filed under the name uncultured bacterium. RNAcentral's name for it is "partial 16S ribosomal RNA". It matches the Rfam family "Bacterial small subunit ribosomal RNA", at positions 28 to 523 of the family's 1533-position model. The record is from RNAcentral.
GACGAACGCUGGCGGCGUGCUUUACACAUGCAAGUCGAACGAUGAUGAGUGCUUGCACUUUGAUUAGUGGCGAACGGGUGAGUAACACGUGAGUAACCUGCCUCAGACUCUGGGAUAACUCCGGGAAACCGGGGCUAAUACUGGGUCUGACAUCUCCUCGCAUGUGGGGGUGUGGAAAGGUUUUUUGGUAUGGGAUGGGCUGGCGGCGUAUCAGCUUGUUGGUGGGGUGAUGGCCUACGAAGGCGAUGACGGGUAGCCGGCCUGGGAGGGGGGCCGGCCACACUGGGACUGAGACACGGCCCAGACUCCUACGGGAGGCAGCAGUGGGGAAUAUUGCACGAUGGGCGCAAGCCUGAUGCAGCGACGCCGCGUGAGGGAUGACGGCCUUCGGGUUGUAAACCUCUUUCAGCAGGGAAGAAGCGUAAGUGACGGUACCUGCAGAAGAAGCGCCGGCUAACUACGUGCCAGCAGCCGCCGUAA